Molecule: ribosomal RNA, 468 nt
Filed under: uncultured bacterium
Lineage: Bacteria
Description: partial 16S ribosomal RNA
Rfam family: Bacterial small subunit ribosomal RNA
Source: RNAcentral
GAUGAACGCUGGCUGCGUGCUUAACACAUGCAAGUCGAGCGGCAGCGCCCUGCUUUCUUGGGGUGCUCGAUUGCCGAACGCGUAAGUAACACUAGAGUAACUUGCCCUUGCCUUUUAGAUAUCUUCAGCAAACUGGGGCUAAUACUGGAUCAAGACUCCUGCAGCAUGGUGCGUGUUGACAUGAUUCGGCGGAUGGGGAUGGACUCGCGGCUUGUCUGCUGGUUGAUGGUGUAUUGGCUAACUAAGGAUUUGGUGGGUAGCCGGCCUGAGAGGGGGACCGGCACCAUGGGGACUGAGAUACGGCCCAGACUCCUACGGGAGGCAGCAGUGGGGGAUAUUGCACAAUGGGCGGAAGUCGGAUGCAGCAACGCCGCGUGCUGGAUUAUGGCCUUCUGUUUGUAAACCGCUUUCGCCGGUGACGAAGCGUGAUUGACGGUAAUGGAUAAAGAAGCACCGGCUAACUACGUG